Molecule: ribosomal RNA, 253 nt
Filed under: uncultured bacterium
Lineage: Bacteria
Description: partial 16S ribosomal RNA
Rfam family: Bacterial small subunit ribosomal RNA
Source: RNAcentral
UACGUAGGGGGCAAGCGUUGUCCGGAUUCAUUGGGCGUAAAGAGCGUGUAGGCGGCCAGAUAGGUCGGUUGUGAAAACUGGAGGCUCAACCUCGAGACGCCGAUGGAAACCAUCUGGCUAGAGUCCGGAAGAGGAGAGUGGAAUUCCCGGUGUAGCGGUGAAAUGCGCAGAUAUCGGGAAGAACACCCGUGGCUAAGGCGGCUCUCUAGUACGGUACUGACGCUGAGACGCGAAAGCGUGGGGAGCGAACAGG